RNAcentral lists this ribosomal RNA (253 nucleotides) under uncultured bacterium. Its description in RNAcentral is "partial 16S ribosomal RNA". It matches the Rfam family "Bacterial small subunit ribosomal RNA", at positions 524 to 776 of the family's 1533-position model. The record is from RNAcentral.
UACGAAGGGGGCUAGCGUUGUUCGGAAUCACUGGGCGUAAAGGGCGCGUAGGCGGCUUUAUAAGUCGGGGGUGAAAGCCUGUGGCUCAACCACAGAAUUGCCUUCGAUACUGUAGAGCUUGAGACCGGAAGAGGUAAGUGGAACUGCGAGUGUAGAGGUGAAAUUCGUAGAUAUUCGCAAGAACACCAGUGGCGAAGGCGGCUUACUGGUCCGGUUCUGACGCUGAGGCGCGAAAGCGUGGGUAGCAAACAGG